Molecule: long non-coding RNA, 1424 nt
Filed under: Oryza sativa (Asian cultivated rice)
Lineage: Eukaryota; Viridiplantae; Streptophyta; Magnoliopsida; Poales; Poaceae
Description: long non-coding RNA (OSAT_LNC000263)
Source: RNAcentral
AAUGUUUGGGUCAUUUGGAUGCUGAGGGAUGAGAUCAAUUGAUGAACAGUUCUUAGCUAGCUUUGUUUCUUGGCUUUGCAGUGUUGGAGGAGGCAUGACUGAAUGAACCAUUUCAUGCUGAUGAUUUCCUGAUGUAAGCUCACACUGCCCCUAAGAAGGUGGUAUUACCCUUGGUCUGUUGGGUUAGCUGGGGGGACCUGGGUGGAGCAUCUUUAUGAAAUUUCUUAUGUGCUCCUUAUAUGAACUGAAAGUCAUAUCACCUUUUAUUGUUUUGCAUUUGCACCUUAUAAUGCCAGUGUGCCACAUAGAACUAUUGAGCCACACAGCAUUGUGAUUUGUGGAAUGAUAUGGGUAAUGUUGAUAAAGGUAUCCAUUAUGCUACAACCUAUUUUAUGCAUUUUUAUGUUGAAAAGCACUGUUACUAAUGUGUUUGUAUUUUGCUAUAUUUUGAACCCUUUAGGAUAUGAACCUUACAUACAUGUCUAUUGAAUAACACUUUCCUUGCCCCGCAAAAAAAAGAAUAACGUUAACUUUUCUUGGGCUUAGUGAUUUCUAAGCUUUAUGGGAUUCACACUUUCUCUGUCGUGUGUUUCUGUAGUAGUACUUGCAUUUUUCUACCUACUGGUUCACAGGCGUUUAAAGGCUGGUCAACAAACAGUAACAUACCAUGACAAGAAUAACUAGGCUAUUGGUAUUUAGUUGUGAGAUAAUUUUCUGUAAAUAUAUGCAUUUUCAUUUUUUUUUGUCAAAUCCUUCUCUUUGCCUUCCUAGGUUAUGGAUAUUUAGAUAAUUUUCCAUUUUGAUGUCAAAUCCUUCUCUUUGCCUGACACAUUCAAAGAUGACUUUAUUUGAUGACUUUUUCAUGCUUACAUAGCUACUUAUGAUUGUUCUCCAAAGCACAGUAAAAUAUCGUUACAUCCAGAACAAAUUUGAUAUGCCAUGUCAUAAUUUCUGCAAGUUAAUCCAUACUUCUGCUUUAUAUUAAUAUAGAUUCUUGGGUUUUUAUCAGAAGUUGAAAGCAACGUUGAGAAUUCCACCGUUUAAUGUUCAAUGCCUAUUGACUCAAGGGGUUGUACACUACACUACACUAGAAGCACCUGUACAGAUCCGAUUGUGGCUGGGAGGACCAAGGAGAUUUAGUUGUUUGGUAACCUAUUGCACACAAAUACUCACUUUAAAAUCCUAAUACUUUUGGGGUGAUUUGUGUUUAAUUAGACAUUUUCAUGCAAACCUAAUCAUUUCUUGAGAAAUAAUUUAUGGUAGCACCUCCAUUGAUAAAAUUUACCGUUGGUGAUUUCUCAAUACUUGAGAAAUAAUCUAUAUAUUCUUUUAUUUUAGUCUGCAAUCUAUCUAAAAUUAACUUUUCAAAGAUACAUGAGCUACAUAUAUCCUCUACUAACAGUGCCACCUUGCAAAAAAAUCAG